AUACGGAGGGUGCGAGCGUUGUUCGGAAUUACUGGGCGUAAAGGGCGCGCAGGCGGCUUGAUAAGUCAGAUGUGAAAGCCCACGGCUCAACCGUGGAAGUGCAUCUGAAACUGUCUGGCUUGAGUACUGGAGAGGAAAGUGGAAUUCCUGGUGUAGAGGUGAAAUUCGUAGAUAUCAGGAGGAACACCGGUGGCGAAGGCGACUUUCUGGACAGAUUCUGACGCUGAGGCGCGAAAGCGUGGGGAGCAAACAGGAGUAGAAACCCCAGUAGUCC
Molecule: ribosomal RNA, 274 nt
Filed under: uncultured bacterium
Lineage: Bacteria
Description: partial 16S ribosomal RNA
Rfam family: Bacterial small subunit ribosomal RNA
Source: RNAcentral